RNAcentral lists this ribosomal RNA (376 nucleotides) under uncultured bacterium. RNAcentral describes it as "bacterial SSU rRNA". It matches the Rfam family "Bacterial small subunit ribosomal RNA", at positions 523 to 898 of the family's 1533-position model. The record is from RNAcentral.
AUACGUAGGUGGCGAGCGUUGUCCGGAAUUACUGGGCGUAAAGGGUGCGUAGGCGGCUCUGCAAGUCAGGUGUGAAAACCAUCGGCUCAACUGAUGGACUGCAUUUGAAACUGUGGGGCUUGAGUGAAGUAGAGGCAGGUGGAAUUCCCGGUGUAGCGGUGGAAUGCGUAGAGAUCGGGAGGAACACCAGUGGCGAAGGCGGCCUGCUGGGCUUUAACUGACGCUGAGGCACGAAAGCAUGGGUAGCAAGCAGGAUUAGAUACCCUGGUAGUCCAUGCUGUAAACGAUGAUUACUAGGUGUGGGUGGUCUGACCCCGUCCGUGCCGGAGUUAACACAAUAAGUAAUCCACCUGGGGAGUAGGACCGCAAGGUUGAA